RNAcentral lists this ribosomal RNA (353 nucleotides) under Cafius canescens. Its description in RNAcentral is "partial 12S ribosomal RNA". The record is from RNAcentral. Lineage: Eukaryota; Metazoa; Arthropoda; Insecta; Coleoptera; Staphylinidae.
UUAAAAUGUAAAUUUUAAGACUAAAUUAUUAAUAGAUAUGUUCUUUAAAGUUAAAGAAUUUGGCGGUAUCUUAGUCUAUUUAGAGGAACCUGUUCUGUAAUUGAUAGUCCACGAUUUAUUAUACUUGUUAUAUUAGUUUAUAUAUCGUCGUAGUUUGAAUAUUUUAAGAGAAUAGUAAUAUUCAAGAUUCUUUAUAAAGAAUAAAAUCAGAUCAAGGUGUAGCUUAUGAACAAGAAGAAAUGGGUUACAAUAAAUUUAUUUAUAUGGUAUAAAUAUUUGAAAAAUAUUUAUUAAAGUGGAUUUAAAAGUAAUAUAGUUUAAUUUAUCUGUAUGAUUUUAGCUCUAAGAUAUGU